This 75-nucleotide transfer RNA is filed under the name Coriobacteriia bacterium. RNAcentral describes it as "tRNA-Gln". It matches the Rfam family "tRNA". From Rfam's summary of the family: Transfer RNA (tRNA) molecules are approximately 80 nucleotides in length. Their secondary structure includes four short double-helical elements and three loops (D, anti-codon, and T loops). The record is from RNAcentral. Lineage: Bacteria; Bacillati; Actinomycetota; Coriobacteriia. RNAcentral also lists the same sequence under 1 other name.
UGGGGCGUCGCCAAGUGGCAAGGCAACGGACUUUGGCUCCGUCAUCCGUAGGUUCGAAUCCUACCGCCCCAGCCA